ACGUGGCAACUGCAAAGUAUGAAAACAUUUGUUUCACUUGUUUGGACAUGGACAGCCAGAACAGGAACUCACCUCUGCAGCAUUACCAUGUCCAAAACACUCAAGCUUUGCUCUUUAAUCAGAGAUUCAAUCUCACUCCUGGGUUGCAAAGAAGAAGAAUGUUCCCAUUGCCAUGAGUGCUGCUGAAAUCACAGACGAGAUGAGACUGCAUUAUCUGAGCAACAGAAACUGGGCAUCAGGCCACCUGCACCAGUAUUAUGGAGACCGGCUCUGUAAAGGUCUG
Molecule: long non-coding RNA, 283 nt
Filed under: Homo sapiens (human)
Lineage: Eukaryota; Metazoa; Chordata; Mammalia; Primates; Hominidae
Description: non-protein coding lnc-ZIC5-9:1
Source: RNAcentral